Molecule: ribosomal RNA, 623 nt
Filed under: uncultured archaeon
Lineage: Archaea
Description: bacterial SSU rRNA
Rfam family: Archaeal small subunit ribosomal RNA
Source: RNAcentral
AUUUUACUCCAUAGAUUAGAGACACUGGAAUGUUCUUUAGUCGAAAGUUCUGGCGCCUUAGGAUGGAUCUGCGGUCGAUUAGGUUGUUGUUGGGGUAACGGCCCAACAAGCCUGUAAUCGAUACGGGUUGUGGGAGCAAGAGCCCGGAGAUGGAAUCUGAGACACGAUUCCAGGCCCUACGGGGCGCAGCAGGCGCGAAAACUUUACAAUGCAGGAAACUGUGAUAAGGGAACUCCGAGUGCCCGUAUACGCGGGCUGUCCAGGUGUUUAAAAAUCAUCUGAAGAAAGGGCCGGGCAAGACCGGUGCCAGCCGCCGCGGUAAUACCGGCGGCUCGAGUGGUGGCCACUAUUAUUGGGCUUAAAGCGUCCGUAGCUGGACCGAUAAGUCUCUUGGGAAAUCCGCCGGCUCAACCGGCGGGCGUCUAAGGGAUACUGUUAGUCUAGGGACCGGGAGAGGUGAGAGGUACUCCGGGGGUAGGAGUGAAAUCCUGUAAUCCCCGGGGGACCACCGAUGGCGAAGGCAUCUCACCAGAACGGCUCCGACAGUGAGGGACGAAAGCUGGGGGAGCGAACCGGAUUAAAUACCCGGGUAGUCCCAGCCGUAAACUAUGCGCGUUAGGUGU